RNAcentral lists this unclassified non-coding RNA (1178 nucleotides) under Hevea brasiliensis (rubber tree). Lineage: Eukaryota; Viridiplantae; Streptophyta; Magnoliopsida; Malpighiales; Euphorbiaceae. The record is from RNAcentral.
GGGAAAAAUGGCUUGAAAAUGACAUUGCACCAAUGCCCAAAUGUGUGAAUUGCAUGAUUGCCCUACAAGGGAAUGCGAAAAUUUUGUCUUAGCAACAGUGGCCUUAUUAAGUUCACCCUUGUCCAAGCAAAAUAUACGCAUUUUUUUUCCCUGUUUUCCCCCCUUUUUCCAUCCUAUUCUCUCACUUACAUGAGCCACACCCACUUCUCCAAAUGGGGUGGCUGCAAUCCUUUCUCUCUCCAUUGAAGAAGCUGUGGUUUCGUAUGCAUUCAAAUCCUAAAAAGAGUAUGUUUUUGUUCACAUUCACUGCUAUAUGUAGCUGCAUUUUCAGUUUGUGUAUCUUCUUUGUGGUGCUAAUUUCUGCUUGUUUUUACUCUUUGCUCACAGUUUAAUUUAUCAUUCUUAAUAUCCUUUUUUUCUUUCCCUUCUCUCCUUCUUGGGUUCUUUGCUUUUAUUGAAGAAUGAAUCCAAAAUCAUCCCAGCAAUCACCAAAUUUUGCUUCAUUUUCAUUACCAAUCUCCAUUAUCUCUCUUAUUUUUCUUCUGUAAUUUCACAUUGGCACUUACAUAUUCUAAUUGCUUGAAAUAAAUUAAGACAAAACGUAGGCAACUUCCAUUUCUUUCUAUUCCGAUUGCACUUAACAAAUCAUUCAUCUAUGACCAAUCUGCUUUCCAAGUUUUUGGUUGAAUGAAUUGUAUUGUCUCUCAAUUCUCAAAAAGAUUUCCUUAGUUUUCCUGCAAUGUCACAAUUUUGUUAACAGAAACUUGUUUAAAAUUUCUCAGGAAGAGGGAUAUACAUUCUAUAUGAGGAUGUGAAAUCUUGUCCCUAUGAAGAUGUUCAUGUCCUAUGGUCAAUACUGGUGGAAUCCAAUGCACCUUCCAUGCCAUCAAAACAAUGAAGGCCUAUACUCAGUACAGAAUUUACUAAAAUUAAUGGGAAAUUUCCAGUCAACGUCAUGUACAUAAAAUAUUUAUGAUGUUUAAUAUACUCUGGUGAAAAGGCCUUUUUGUUUUCUAUUUUUGCCUUCUAAGUUUCUUGUCAUCUCAGUUACAAACUAUACUAGAACAUCACUUUCCUUGUUUCAUUUUUAUUUCCUGUUUUAAACUUUUGCUUGGCCCUAACUACUCUAAUUCUGUCUUUAUUCCAAAAUCCUUUACGUGCUUAAUACUUAAUUAAGG